AUGAACUGUGAUGGUGCAAUCUCCACUCUUGGGGAGAAGGGAGCAGCGGCUACUGUGUGUCGAGACAAGUCAGGAAAGUUCCUAAGAGCAUCAGCAGUGGUAUUUGACAGCUUGAUCGACCCGGCGAGCUUGGAGGCGCAAGCAUGUAGCGAGUCUCUCGCCCUUGCACAGGACCUGAAUUUGCAGGAUCUCGUGAUCGCUUCGGAUUGCUUAGAGGUGAUUUCAAAUAUCAAUAGAGAAGCCUCGCCAGUGUAUGCGCCUAUCCUGCAUGAAAUCUAUUGCAGUACAAACUUUUUUUCCUCUGUUAUUUUUCGUUUUAAAAGUAGGGAGAAUAAUUUCGAGGCCCACUCGAUAGCAAAAGGAGCCGCGUCUCUGCCGAUGGACCGCCAUGUGUGGCUAGGGGUUCUACCAGAUAUUUCUUGUAUUCCGGACAUAAAUGAAUACCCUAGUUACCCUAAAAAAAGGAGCUGCCCUCUAAUGAACGAUUCAUUCGCUCUUGCAUGGGUCCUCCACCAAACGUUUCAGGUGAUUUGCUCGUUGUUCCAAAAUCACUAA
This 555-nucleotide ribosomal RNA is filed under the name Triticum aestivum (bread wheat). RNAcentral's name for it is "partial small subunit ribosomal RNA". The record is from RNAcentral. Lineage: Eukaryota; Viridiplantae; Streptophyta; Magnoliopsida; Poales; Poaceae.